This 468-nucleotide ribosomal RNA is filed under the name uncultured bacterium. RNAcentral describes it as "partial 16S ribosomal RNA". It matches the Rfam family "Bacterial small subunit ribosomal RNA", at positions 28 to 507 of the family's 1533-position model. The record is from RNAcentral.
GACGAACGCUGGCGGCGUGCUUAACACAUGCAAGUCGAACGGAAAGGCCCUGCUUUUGUGGGGUGCUCGAGUGGCGAACGGGUGAGUAACACGUGAGUAACCUGCCCUUGACUUUGGGAUAACUUCAGGAAACUGGGGCUAAUACCGGAUAGGAGCUCCUGCUGCAUGGUGGGGGUUGGAAAGUUUCGGCGGUUGGGGAUGGACUCGCGGCUUAUCAGCUUGUUGGUGGGGUAGUGGCUUACAAAGGCUUUGACGGGUAGCCGGCCUUAGAGGGUGACCGGCCACAUUGGGACUGCGAUACGGCCCAGACUCCUACGGGAGGCAGCAGUGGGGAAUAUUGCACAAUGGGCGGAAGCCUGAUGCAGCAACGCCGCGUGCGGGAUGACGGCCUUCGGGUUGUAAACCGCUUUCGCCUGUGACGAAGCGUGAGUGACGGUAAUGGGUAAAGAAGCACCGGCUAACUACGUG